This 77-nucleotide transfer RNA is filed under the name Bradyrhizobium sp. NAS96.2. RNAcentral describes it as "tRNA-Ser". It matches the Rfam family "tRNA". Rfam says of the family: Transfer RNA (tRNA) molecules are approximately 80 nucleotides in length. The record is from RNAcentral. Lineage: Bacteria; Pseudomonadati; Pseudomonadota; Alphaproteobacteria; Hyphomicrobiales; Nitrobacteraceae.
CCCCACGUAGCUCAAAGAAUAGAGCACCGCGCCUGCUAAGCCGGAGGUUACGGGUUUGAAUCCCGUCGUGGGGACCC